Molecule: ribosomal RNA, 475 nt
Filed under: uncultured bacterium
Lineage: Bacteria
Description: bacterial SSU rRNA
Rfam family: Bacterial small subunit ribosomal RNA
Source: RNAcentral
ACUCCUACGGGGAGGCAGCAGUAGGGAAUCUUCCACAAUGGGCGCAAGCCUGAUGGAGCAACACCGCGUGAGUGAAGAAGGGUUUCGGCUCGUAAAGCUCUGUUGUUAAAGAAGAACACGUAUGAGAGUAACUGUUCAUACGUUGACGGUAUUUAACCAGAAAGUCACGGCUAACUACGUGCCAGCAGCCGCGGUAAUACGUAGGUGGCAAGCGUUAUCCGGAUUUAUUGGGCGUAAAGAGAGUGCAGGCGGUUUUCUAAGUCUGAUGUGAAAGCCUUCGGCUUAACCGGAGAAGUGCAUCGGAAACUGGAUAACUUGAGUGCAGAAGAGGGUAGUGGAACUCCAUGUGUAGCGGUGGAAUGCGUAGAUAUAUGGAAGAACACCAGUGGCGAAGGCGGCUACCUGGUCUGCAACUGACGCUGAGACUCGAAAGCAUGGGGUAGCGAACAGGAUUAGAUACCCUGGUAGGAUAGCG